UAAGCCAACAGUCAGCCUGCAUUUUGUCAGCAUGUUCUUCUGCUCAGCCUUGUCUGAACUUUAUGUUCAAGGGGAGAGAAAAUGAGAAUAUCAGAGUUUAUGUCAAGCGGCGACGGUAUCCUCAUUCAUCUGCAAUCCUCUCUCUUGGUGCAGGGCAAUUACAAAAACACAGCACACGCCAAAUUUUCUGAGGGAAAAGGUUAUUUUCAGGGAAUGAAGAUAGACUUUCCACUUGACCCGUGUGCAAUGAAAGAGCAUAACAAUGGAACAGGAUUUCUCUUUUCCUGUGGUUUCUGACAUUUAGCAGAGUGGUCUUUUGACUGAAUGACUGGGGGAAAAAAGAGGCGUCUUUUUCUGGUCAAGGAGGACAUUGAUGAAUUGCUGCAAGGCGAGCCGGAGAGGCACAAUUAAGAUUCCAUCAGGAUAAAGCAUCCCUCCAUUCUUACCUCCUUCAGAGCAUCUGCCCAGUGCCCACAUUCUUGGGCGCACAUGGUGUCCAGCAGCUGCCAGGUCAGCAGAGGUGCUGGAGCGCAGAUUGCCAGGCGCUGGCCUCCUACCCAAGGCGAGCUGCCAGUUGUGGACACAGAGGCAGCAGGGAGGCGCUUCAGAGGGUCGGGGAUUCAACAGACUUUAUGCAACGCGGUGUGCUGCCUGUGUUCUCCAGUACUUCCACCAAUGAUCACAAGUGAGGCAAAGCAUGCGGAGAUGAAUCGCCAGAUAUCAGUCUAUACAUGGAUGGCGAUUGCCAAACGAGUAUCGGAUUGCCGGAUUGGAAUCAUUCAAUUAACAUUAGAAUUUAAAUUUGCCAUUUUAGCGACCCUGGAGACAGUGACGGAGGCACUGAACCUGCAAAUCUCAGAAGCAUUUAGCAUUCCAUUUCCAUUCAAGCGUGCCAAAUUUCCAUUGAGCAUACAAAACUCUUAUAUUCAUAUUAGUCUUAUUAGUCUUAUAUUUUCUGCUUGCUCUACAUUUAAUUCUCAGGGGGACGGCUCUGGCCAGGACACAGGGAGACCUAUAUAUGGCAGAUUUUUUUUUUUACCAGUAUACAAAGGAGAGCAGGGGGAGGACAGGCUAGGCCCCAGAUGGACAGUGUGUAAUGUUGUUAGCUAUAGUUAGCCAAUCUAGUCACACUGCCAGCAGCUCUCAUUACAUGAUCUAAUUCUCCCUCUCUAUCUCGCUUUCCCUCCCAUUUCGCCAGCACACACACACCCACACAGGCCAGAGAGGAUGGAGGGAGUGCCAGGAGGUGGAAGACAGACAGACCUGUGUGUGCGUGUGUGUGUGUGUGUGUGUGUGUGUGUGUGUGUGUGUGUGUGGAUGCAGGCGGAGGUGGUGGAGCUGCAGCAGCACCGUGAUGUGUUCAGGAGGUUAUGCAGGGCCUCCUCACUCAGGAACUUGUAGUUUUCCAACAGGAGAGAGGCAUCAAAAUUGAAUGAAGAUAUUAAUAAUUCAGCGACAGAUUUCUCAAAGAAAACAGGUUUUCCGAGACGAUAAAGCAAAAAUCAAUGCCGCCUCUCCACUCUCUGUCUCUCGCUCAUACUCCCCAUCUCUUCAUGCAUGUGUGGAGGAGAAAGGAAGAGGGGGUGGAGGAGUGGAUCAGCGUAUGCGGCUCUCUGCCCCUUUGUUUGCGCCCGGCGUGUGGGAGCCUCUGUUGGUGUGCCUCUGUCUGUGUUCUAGCAGGGUGGACAUCAGCUUCGUGCCCGCCGGCCUGCACUGUUACUCAGUGAAUUCCCUGGAGGCAGGAGCGCUGCUUCAGCCUCGCCACCUCCAGAGUGGGUCAGUGGAGAGGAGACACCACGCUGAGGGAGGUGCAAAUCUCAGCGGGGCCGGAGGAAAAAAAAAAACAGGCAGACAUGCACAAGCCCAUGUAAGCACACACCCAUGUGAGCGCACACAGUCAACAAAAGCCCUCGCUGUGAGACAAACAGGCUGCUCAUGCCUUCGAACAAAGCUGUUCCCUAGACGUGGUUGUGUGUCCAUUGUGAGGUCAACCAGCAUACAUGAGCUAAUUAUCACCUCUGUAUGAAGCUGUCUGGAGAGGAGCAGGUACACACCCAAUGCACUCGUGUGUGUGUGUGUGUGUGUGUGUGUGUGUCUGU
Long non-coding RNA from Scophthalmus maximus (turbot), 2099 nucleotides. RefSeq lists it as uncharacterized. The transcript is spliced from 3 exons. The record is from RefSeq and is a predicted model, not a curated record. NCBI's taxonomy places the organism in Eukaryota, Metazoa, Chordata, Actinopteri, Pleuronectiformes, Scophthalmidae.